Molecule: ribosomal RNA, 276 nt
Filed under: uncultured bacterium
Lineage: Bacteria
Description: partial 16S ribosomal RNA
Rfam family: Bacterial small subunit ribosomal RNA
Source: RNAcentral
CCCGCCGGCGACCGGCGCACGGGUGAGUAACACGUAUGCAACCUGGCCGCCACACGGGGGAUAACCCGCGGAAACGCGGCCUAAUACCCCGUGACGCCACCGGAGGGCAUCCUCCCGGGUGGCCAAAGGAGCGAUCCGGUGGCGGAUGGGCAUGCGGCGCAUUAGCUAGACGGCGGGGUGACGGCCCACCGUGGCGACGAUGCGUAGGGGUUCUGAGAGGAAGGACCCCCCACACUGGGACUGAGACACGGCCCAGACUCCUACGGGAGGCAGCAG